Molecule: ribosomal RNA, 497 nt
Filed under: uncultured bacterium
Lineage: Bacteria
Description: partial 16S ribosomal RNA
Rfam family: Bacterial small subunit ribosomal RNA
Source: RNAcentral
GAUGAACGCUGGCGGCGUGCCUAAUACAUGCAAGUCGAGCGAACAGACGAGGAGCUUGCUCCUCUGACGUUAGCGGCGGACGGGUGAGUAACACGUGGAUAACCUACCUAUAAGACUGGGAUAACUUCGGGAAACCGGAGCUAAUACCGGAUAACAUGUUGAACCGCAUGGUUCAACAGUGAAAGACGGUCUUGCUGUCACUUAUACAUGGAUCCGCGCCGCAUUAGCUAGUUGGUAAGGUAACGGCUUACCAAGGCAACGAUGCGUAGCCGACCUGAGAGGGUGAUCGGCCACACUGGAACUGAGACACGGUCCAGACUCCUACGGGAGGCAGCAGUAGGGAAUCUUCCGCAAUGGGCGAAAGCCUGACGGAGCAACGCCGCGUGAGCGAAGAAGGUCUUCGGAUCGUAAAACUCUGUUAUUAGGGAAGAACAAAUGUGUAAGUAACUAUGCACGUCUUGACGGUACCUAAUCAGAAAGCCACGGCUAACUACGUG